Molecule: ribosomal RNA, 301 nt
Filed under: uncultured bacterium
Lineage: Bacteria
Description: partial 16S ribosomal RNA
Rfam family: Bacterial small subunit ribosomal RNA
Source: RNAcentral
CAGUAGCCGCGGGAAUACAGAGGGUGCGAGCGUUAAUCGGAUUUACUGGGCGUAAAGCGUGCGUAGGCGGCUUCUUAAGUCGGAUGUGAAAUCCCUGAGCUUAACUUAGGAAUUGCAUUCGAUACUGGGAAGCUAGAGUAUGGGAGAGGAUGGUAGAAUUCCAGGUGUAGCGGUGAAAUGCGUAGAGAUCUGGAGGAAUACCGAUGGCGAAGGCAGCCAUCUGGCCUAAUACUGACGCUGAGGUACGAAAGCAUGGGGAGCAAACAGGAUUAGAUACCCGAGUAGUCCCUGUCUCUAUACA